Molecule: ribosomal RNA, 630 nt
Filed under: Salmonella enterica subsp. enterica serovar Uganda
Lineage: Bacteria; Pseudomonadati; Pseudomonadota; Gammaproteobacteria; Enterobacterales; Enterobacteriaceae
Description: partial 23S ribosomal RNA
Rfam family: Bacterial large subunit ribosomal RNA
Source: RNAcentral
GUGGACGCCAGUCUGCAUGGAGCCGACCUUGAAAUACCACCCUUUAAUGUUUGAUGUUCUAACGUGGACCCGUAAUCCGGGUUGCGGACAGUGUCUGGUGGGUAGUUUGACUGGGGCGGUCUCCUCCUAAAGAGUAACGGAGGAGCACGAAGGUUGGCUAAUCCUGGUCGGACAUCAGGAGGUUAGUGCAAUGGCAUAAGCCAGCUUGACUGCGAGCGUGACGGCGCGAGCAGGUGCGAAAGCAGGUCAUAGUGAUCCGGUGGUUCUGAAUGGAAGGGCCAUCGCUCAACGGAUAAAAGGUACUCCGGGGAUAACAGGCUGAUACCGCCCAAGAGUUCAUAUCGACGGCGGUGUUUGGCACCUCGAUGUCGGCUCAUCACAUCCUGGGGCUGAAGUAGGUCCCAAGGGUAUGGCUGUUCGCCAUUUAAAGUGGUACGCGAGCUGGGUUUAGAACGUCGUGAGACAGUUCGGUCCCUAUCUGCCGUGGGCGCUGGAGAAUUGAGGGGGGCUGCUCCUAGUACGAGAGGACCGGAGUGGACGCAUCACUGGUGUUCGGGUUGUCAUGCCAAUGGCACUGCCCGGUAGCUAAAUGCGGAAAAGAUAAGUGCUGAAAGCAUCUAAGCACGAAAC